AAAUCUCUAAAUGCUUUAAGGAGGGAUGAUAAUACAGAACUGUCAGUUUUCUCUGGCCUUUGCUUUGUUGGUAACCCUGAGACCGGGGGCCGUCCUGCCUUCGUGAGCCAUUACCCAGUGAGAAAAGCAAUUCCUCUGGGUCUGCGUAUUGGGAGCCUUUUAACCUGGAUGACCCAGGUAUGGGGCCAGCUUCCUUGCAGCAGAUCCUAACCGAAGGUGUUCACCUUCGCAGGUGUGGGAAGAGAGGGGAGAGACCCAAGAGCGGGGCCGGCGGUUGGGAGGCAUCCCCACAGUGAAGGAUGCUUGAAGAAUCAGUCUCAGCUGGCCUGGAGCAGGAGCAGCUGGGGGAAGUCAAGCUGGAGGAGGAGGAGACUGUCAGCCCAGAGGACCCCAGGCGGCCAGAGUCCAGGCUGAGGCCCGAGGUGGCUCACCAGCUGUUCAGAUGCUUCCAGUAUCAGGAGGACAUGGGGCCACGGGCGUCCCUGAGCCGGCUCCGGGAGCUCUGCGGCCACUGGCUGCGGCCGGCUCUGCACACCAAGAAGCAGAUCCUGGAGCUGCUGGUGCUGGAGCAGUUCCUGAGUGUGCUGCCUCCGCACCUCCUGGGCCGCCUGCAGGGGCAGCCCCUCAGGGACGGGGAGGAGGUGGUCCUGCUGCUGGAGGGCAUCCACCGGGAGCCCAGCCAUGCGGGGCCGCUGGUGAGAGGGUGGCGCAGCGGGCUGAGCAGCACGCGGAUGAUGGGGACUUGAUCCCCUCAGUGAGGAAUCUCUGGAAACUCUACUUUCCCCCACCUGACCAUUCCUUCUUCACCUCCUAACUCCUCCCCUGGCUGACUCUCACCUCGUUUCUGUCCCAUGUCCCCUCAGAGUCAGGACACAGGUUGCCACCCCGGGAGUCACUUAACUUGAAUGUGUUUUGAACAGGAUUUCAGUUGUAAUGCUGGCAAGAGUUGUCCCCGUGCAGACGUCACCUUGGAGGAAAAGGGGUGUGCUUCCCGGGUCAACAACCACAGCCCCAAGAAGGAAUUGCCUGCAGAAGAACCUUCAGUGCUGGGCCCAUCGGAUGAGCCUUCCCAACCCCAGCCAAGGCCUGCCAAGCCUGCUGAGCUGGGACAGUGGAGACUUCCCCCAAGUUCAAAGCAGCCGCUGAGCCCGGGGCCCCAGAAGACACUCCAGGCCCUGCAAGAAAGCAGUCCCCAGGGCCCCUCACCAUGGCCAGAGGAGAGUUCCCGAGAUCAGGAGCUGGCGGCUGUGCUGGAGUCCCUGACCUUUGAGGAUGUGCCAGACAAUAAGGCGUGGCCUACACACCCCCUGGGAUUCGGAAGCAGAACCCCAGACAAGGAGGAAUUUAAACAAGAAGAGCCCAAAGGGGCUGCCUGGCCCACUCCCAUCUUAGCAGAGUCCCAGGCAGAUAGUCCUGGGGUGCCGGGAGAGCCUUGCGCCCAGACGCUCGGACAGGGCGCUGCGGCGAGCGGCCCUGGUGAAGAUAGGUCCCUUCUUGGCAGCAGUGAAAUUUUGGAGGUCAAAGUGGCUGAGGGCGUCCCCGAGCCCAAUCCGGAGUUGCAGUUCAUCUGCGCGGACUGCGGGGUGAGCUUCCCGCAGCUGUCUCGCCUGAAGGCGCACCAGCUGCGCUCGCACCCGUCCGGGCGUUCCUUCCUGUGCCUUUGCUGCGGGAAGAGCUUCGGCCGCAGCUCCAUUCUCAAGCUGCACAUGCGCACUCACACGGACGA
RNAcentral lists this small RNA (1726 nucleotides) under Pongo abelii (Sumatran orangutan). RNAcentral's name for it is "retained intron". The record is from RNAcentral. Lineage: Eukaryota; Metazoa; Chordata; Mammalia; Primates; Hominidae.